UCGCCCAUUAAAGUGGUACGCGAGCUGGGUUCAGAACGUCGUGAGACAGUUCGGUCCCUAUCCGUCGCAGGCGUAGGAAAUUUGAGAAGACCUGUCCUUAGUACGAGAGGACCGGGAUGGACGUACCGCUGGUGUACCAGUUGUUCUGCCAAGGGCAUGGCUGGGUAGCUAUGUACGGAAUGGAUAAGCGCUGAAAGCAUCUAAGCGCGAAGCCAACUUCAAGAUAAGAUUUCCCACCGCAAGGGUAAGACCCCAGAAAGACUAUCUGGUUGAUAGGUCGAAGGUGUAAGUGCAGCAAUGUAUUUAGCUUAUCGAUACUAAUAGGUCGAGGACUUGACCAAU
This 342-nucleotide ribosomal RNA is filed under the name Clostridioides difficile. Its description in RNAcentral is "bacterial LSU rRNA". It matches the Rfam family "Bacterial large subunit ribosomal RNA", at positions 2581 to 2925 of the family's 2925-position model. The record is from RNAcentral. Lineage: Bacteria; Bacillati; Bacillota; Clostridia; Peptostreptococcales; Peptostreptococcaceae.